RNAcentral lists this non-coding RNA (23 nucleotides) under Arabidopsis thaliana (thale cress). Lineage: Eukaryota; Viridiplantae; Streptophyta; Magnoliopsida; Brassicales; Brassicaceae. The record is from RNAcentral.
UACAGAUGUAUCUGCACAGUGGU